RNAcentral lists this ribosomal RNA (427 nucleotides) under Corynebacterium sp. R-45902. RNAcentral describes it as "bacterial SSU rRNA". It matches the Rfam family "Bacterial small subunit ribosomal RNA", at positions 33 to 473 of the family's 1533-position model. Lineage: Bacteria; Bacillati; Actinomycetota; Actinomycetes; Mycobacteriales; Corynebacteriaceae. The record is from RNAcentral.
ACGCUGGCGGCGUGCUUAACACAUGCAAGUCGAACGGAAAGGCCACAGCUUGCUGUGGUACUCGAGUGGCGAACGGGUGAGUAACACGUGGGUGAUCUGCCCUGUACUUCGGGAUAAGCUUGGGAAACUGGGUCUAAUACCGGAUAGGAAUCACAUGUGGGUGUGUGGUUGGAAAGCUUUUGCGGUAUGGGAUGAGCUCGCGGCCUAUCAGCUUGUUGGUGGGGUAAUGGCCUACCAAGGCGUCGACGGGUAGCCGGCCUGAGAGGGUGUACGGCCACAUUGGGACUGAGAUACGGCCCAGACUCCUACGGGAGGCAGCAGUGGGGAAUAUUGCACAAUGGGCGCAAGCCUGAUGCAGCGACGCCGCGUGGGGGAUGACGGCCUUCGGGUUGUAAACUCCUUUCGUCAGGGACGAAGCGAAAGUGAC